GAUGAACGCUGACAGAAUGCUUAACACAUGCAAGUCAUUGGCGAAGCUGCGCUUGCGCAGUCUAGCCAAGGCGGACGGGUGAGUAACGCGUAAGGAACUUGCCCUGCAGACAGGGAUAACAGACGGAAACGACUGAUAACACCUGGUAUUGUCAGGCUGGCGCAUGCCGGCCUGAUGAAAGGAGACGCUGCAGGAGAGCCUUGCGUCCUAUUAGCUAGUUGGUUGGGUAACGGCCCACCAAGGCGAUGAUAGGUAGCCGGCCUGAGAGGGUGAACGGCCACGAGGGGACUGAGAUACGGCCCUUACUCCUACGGGAGGCAGCAGUGGGGAAUAUUGGACAAUGGGGGCAACCCUGAUCCAGCAAUUCUGUGUGCACGAAGAAGGUUUUCGGAUUGUAAAGUGCUUUCAGCAGGGAAGAAGAAAGUGACGGUACCUGCAGAAGAAGCGACGGCUAAAUACGUG
This 462-nucleotide ribosomal RNA is filed under the name uncultured bacterium. Its description in RNAcentral is "partial 16S ribosomal RNA". It matches the Rfam family "Bacterial small subunit ribosomal RNA", at positions 28 to 507 of the family's 1533-position model. The record is from RNAcentral.